Long non-coding RNA from Marmota monax (woodchuck), 2341 nucleotides. RefSeq lists it as uncharacterized. The record is from RefSeq and is a predicted model, not a curated record. NCBI's taxonomy places the organism in Eukaryota, Metazoa, Chordata, Mammalia, Rodentia, Sciuridae. The transcript has 3 exons.
CUCUGGCACCGGGCUCCGCGCUGCGCGCUGCACCCCGGGGAGGAGCCGAGUUCCCGAGCGGGCUCCGCGCUGUACCCCGGGAGGAGCCGGGCCCUCUGGAGCGGGGCUUCGCGCUGCACCCCGGGGAGGAGCCGGGGCUCCCGAGCGGAGCUGUGCAGCUCUGGCGGCGACUCGCCGAGGGGCUCCACUGCGAUGGAGCCAGGUGACCCGGGCGUGAGCCAGUGCAGCAGGGCGCGUGUCGGGGAGGGUGGGAGAGCACCGUGCCUGGCUCGGAAGGGAGGGAGAGGAAGGAAGCGUCGGGGAAGAACGGCACAGUUCGGCCUCCCGAGGGCCACUCGGGUUCCUGCGUGCUCCGCGCACUCGGCCAGCUCGGUCAACCCCGUCGGCUCUGCUGUGAUUGCCCCACUUUGCAGACCAAGAAAUCGAGGCCCGGGGUGUUCAGUAGGUCACUUAGGACACAGAGCUACGAAGCAGCAGCGGUGAGCUCCUGCUACCCGGGGAGCCUGUCCUUGUGGGGAAGAAAAGCAGGAGGAGGAAGGACUGAAGACAUCAAAAAGACUGCUUCUGAGGUCCUUUAGAAGUUCUUCAGUUCAAAUUAUUGAAGCCAAGGCACCAUAAUUUAGAAAAUCAUGUUCAGGGCCCCAGUAAUAGACUGCAGAGAAGGUCUGUCUGUAAACCUGGGUGGACCUAGAGAUGCUUUCUAGAAAACAGAGAACAAGAGAGUAAAGAGGCAAUGUGGGAGAAACCGAGUUGAGGUUAACAUCACCAAAAGUCCAACAAGGUGUUGGGCUGAGCUGAAAAUUAAACUAAUGUAAGACAUCAAUAAAAAACUAGUGAAGUUACAUUUGCAAAUACAGAAGACGAACACAGAAAGAAGCCUCCAAGUAAAACAGGGUAAGCCUGGAAAAAUUCUAUGACUUCUUCUACUCUUUGUUACUUGCUUCUUGCUCAAAUUUUGGAAGUCACCCAGCUGAGCAGUGUGUACUAAUAGUUUGCUGAAACAUCUAACAAUAGAAUCACAAUGGUAGUGGUCACUCUUUGUUUCCAAGGAAUGUGGAGAAGACACCAUCUAUUGAUCCUUCACUGGGCCUUCACAACUGUAUGAUGGUGCCCUCUGACACUAGAAUGUCAAAAGUUUCACACUUAGUGCAUGCUGAGCCCACCAUUAUCUGAAUGUUUGGCAAAUAAAAAUCUGAGUUUGAUGUAACAGGUGCAACCCCCAGUUAUUUCACUUUCCCUACUCCAGUGUGUUCCCAUGCCUCAGACUACUGGCUUCCUUAUCCUACAAAUGCCCCUCAACCAUAUACUCAGGAAGAAGGGUUUGACUAGGGGUUCGCACCACUCUGUGACUGGUGAAUAAUCCCUUUCUAUUCUACAGAACCUAUUGGUUCAAUGACAUCUUGCUCAAUUCAACAAAUAAAUUCACCUUUUGAUUUUUUUGAAAAUACAAAGAUUAUAAACUAAAAUAAUAUUUUAAUUGCCAAAAGUUUUUGUUAAUUAUUCAAAUAGAAAGUUACUUCCAUGAGUAAGUAAAGCUAGAGUAGUAAAGCCAAUGAAUAAGCCCACUCUAGACUCUACAUGUGAAUACAUGACAACCUACUACAGCUUCUGGGGUAGAAAGAAAAAUUUGAAAUUCAUGGUUAUGAGUAUGACUGUGUUCCUUGAAAUAAAUUUUUUUUUACCUUUAUCACAUGCAGUAAUUUUGUUGAAAAAAAAAUAUCCAAGUAGAUUUCACUUACCUCAAAGGGCCUAAGAUUUUCCAAUUUUACAUAUAUAUAUCCUAAAAUCCAAUAGUAUACAUUGGACAUUGAAAAAAUUCUUCAUGUAAUGAUGAGAUUGCUGGAUUUGAGAGUGCCAGAGAAAGGGAGAAAGCAGAUUUUAAAAUAACAUAAUGUUUUUAAAAUGUGGUGUUUGGAGAUCUUCAAGGCAUCUUUAAAAAGGUAUUCUGAGAACUUGUUACCAGGACUGAAAGAAGAUGGAUUAUGCAUUGUGAAAAAACAACAGAAAUUCUUUCAGGACAGCUACAAGCUUUACAGCUCCAUACUUUCCAGGGUCAUUUAUGACCAAACAUGUGUUAAAUGGAAUAUGUCUCUCUUGUUCUGACAAAGAAUGAUGAUUAGACUUAUCUGGAAAAUGGAAACACAGGUUGUUCCUCUCCCUAGUGGAACAAUAAUGUGAACCUGAAAAAUCAUGAGGAGACUUUAUCACUAAGUGCAGUAAGUACUGUUAGGAAGUAGUUGUUAAUGGGCAAAAAAAUGCAUAGCAAGGAUACAGGGUUGCUUGAAAUUACUCUUAAAGUUCUUCAAGUUACUGCCAAAACACUUUAAAGAAGAAAAUAUAU